UGAUGGAAUUGAUGUGGGUACAAUGCCUCC
Molecule: non-coding RNA, 30 nt
Filed under: Rattus norvegicus (Norway rat)
Lineage: Eukaryota; Metazoa; Chordata; Mammalia; Rodentia; Muridae
Source: RNAcentral